RNAcentral lists this long non-coding RNA (235 nucleotides) under Elaeis guineensis (African oil palm). RNAcentral describes it as "long non-coding RNA (EGUI_LNC061399)". The record is from RNAcentral. Lineage: Eukaryota; Viridiplantae; Streptophyta; Magnoliopsida; Arecales; Arecaceae.
GUAAAAUCCAUAGGCUAUUCCACGCAAAAAUCUUCAAAAGAUCUCUACUCAGGAAAGCUAUUUCACAUCCUUUCUUGGAGUCGAUUUCUCACAUCGCCUCAUUGUAUGUUCUGGAAUCAUCUCUAUGCUCCCAUCUCCCAUGAGAAAUGACUUUUUCUAUAUUCUCUGUUAAGCAUACCCAAGUACCUUUCGAGAGGAUAGGAGAUCUGACUAAGUGUACGAGGUGGAAAAGGAA